GAAAGAAAGAAAAAAAAUGUGGUCUGCCAGGGGUCUCCAGGGUAGACUCAGUUGAUGUGGCUGGCUGGGCAGGUGCCCCCUUCUUCCCUCAGGGCUCCAUGAAUGUCCCCACUGCCCACUCAGUGGAAGAGAACAACAGUCCCCUAAGGACUGCCCUCCCUUUGUGGGUCUCUGUGCAGCUGCACUCUGCUACUAGAACCUCCAAACUGAAACCAAACUAGAACCUCAGCCUGUGGGCUGCGACCCCUUCAGAGGUCGCACAUCAGUUUUCCUGCAUGCCAGAUGUUUGCAUUAUAAUUAAUAACAGUGGCAAAAUUAC
RNAcentral lists this small RNA (319 nucleotides) under Microtus ochrogaster (prairie vole). RNAcentral's name for it is "7SK RNA (ENSMOCG00000005288.1)". Lineage: Eukaryota; Metazoa; Chordata; Mammalia; Rodentia; Cricetidae. The record is from RNAcentral.